CAAACGACUCUCGGCAACGGAUAUCUCGGCUCAUGCAUCGAUGAAGAACGUAGCAAAAUGCGAUACUUGGUGUGAAUUGCAGAAUCCCGUGAACCAUCGAGUUUUUGAACGCAAGUUGCGCCCGAAGCCUUUUGGUUGAGGGCACGUCUGCCUGGGCGUCACAC
RNAcentral lists this ribosomal RNA (164 nucleotides) under Ekmaniopappus mikanioides. Its description in RNAcentral is "5.8S ribosomal RNA". It matches the Rfam family "5.8S ribosomal RNA". Rfam says of the family: 5.8S ribosomal RNA (5.8S rRNA) is a component of the large subunit of the eukaryotic ribosome. It is transcribed by RNA polymerase I as part of the 45S precursor that also contains 18S and 28S rRNA. Lineage: Eukaryota; Viridiplantae; Streptophyta; Magnoliopsida; Asterales; Asteraceae. The record is from RNAcentral.